GUUUUUAUAGUUAAAAAAAAAAAUAUUGGUCUUGUAAAUCAAAGUUAAGUUAUAUACUUUAAAAACA
Molecule: transfer RNA, 67 nt
Filed under: Xestia c-nigrum (spotted cutworm)
Lineage: Eukaryota; Metazoa; Arthropoda; Insecta; Lepidoptera; Noctuidae
Description: tRNA-Thr
Rfam family: tRNA
About the family: Transfer RNA (tRNA) molecules are approximately 80 nucleotides in length.
Source: RNAcentral